RNAcentral lists this ribosomal RNA (492 nucleotides) under uncultured bacterium. RNAcentral's name for it is "partial 16S ribosomal RNA". It matches the Rfam family "Bacterial small subunit ribosomal RNA", at positions 29 to 507 of the family's 1533-position model. The record is from RNAcentral.
AGUGAACGCUGGCGGUAGGCCUAACACAUGCAAGUCGAACGGCAGCACAGUAAGAGCUUGCUCUUAUGGGUGGCGAGUGGCGGACGGGUGAGGAAUACAUCGGAAUCUACUUUUUCGUGGGGGAUAACGUAGGGAAACUUACGCUAAUACCGCAUACGACCUACGGGUGAAAGCAGGGGAUCUUCGGACCUUGCGCGAUUGAAUGAGCCGAUGUCGGAUUAGCUAGUUGGCGGGGUAAAGGCCCACCAAGGCGACGAUCCGUAGCUGAUCUGAGAGGAUGAUCAGCCACACUGGAACUGAGACACGGUCCAGACUCCUACGGGAGGCAGCAGUGGGGAAUAUUGGACAAUGGGCGCAAGCCUGAUCCAGCCAUACCGCGUGGGUGAAGAAGGCCUUCGGGUUGUAAAGCCCUUUUGUUGGGAAAGAAAAGCAGCAGGUUAAUACCCCGCUGUUCUGACGGUACCCAAAGAAUAAGCACCGGCUAACUUCGUG